Molecule: small RNA, 385 nt
Filed under: Pan troglodytes (chimpanzee)
Lineage: Eukaryota; Metazoa; Chordata; Mammalia; Primates; Hominidae
Description: retained intron
Source: RNAcentral
GCUCUGUCAAAACCCAAGUCCUUUCUUGGCUCCGUGUCAGGCGGGGUGGUCAGCAGGGGUCACCUGGCUCUUCUGUCUUUGCAGGGCCCCCUGCUGCGCUGGCUCAAGGUGAACUUCAGCGAAGCCUUCAUUGCCUGGAUCCACAUCAAGGCCCUGAGAGUGUUUGUGGAGUCCGUGCUCAGGUAUGGACUACCAGUGAACUUCCAGGCAGUGCUCCUGCAGCCGCAUAAGAAGUCAUCCACCAAGCGUUUAAGAGAGGUUCUAAACUCUGUCUUCCGACAUCUGGAUGAAGUAGCCGCUACAAGUAUACUGGAUGCAUCUGUGGAGAUCCCGGGACUGCAACUCAAUAACCAAGACUAUUUUCCUUAUGUCUACUUCCAUAUUG